GACGGUAUAGCUCAAGCGGUAGAGCAUAUGCUUAGUAUGCAUGAGGUCCUGGUUUCAAUCCCCAGUACCUCCU
This 73-nucleotide transfer RNA is filed under the name Camelus bactrianus (Bactrian camel). It matches the Rfam family "tRNA". From Rfam's summary of the family: Transfer RNA (tRNA) molecules are approximately 80 nucleotides in length. Lineage: Eukaryota; Metazoa; Chordata; Mammalia; Artiodactyla; Camelidae. The record is from Rfam by way of RNAcentral. RNAcentral also lists the same sequence under 2 other names.